Molecule: small nucleolar RNA, 107 nt
Organism: Salvia miltiorrhiza (redroot sage)
Lineage: Eukaryota; Viridiplantae; Streptophyta; Magnoliopsida; Lamiales; Lamiaceae
Source: RefSeq, a predicted model, not a curated record
AAGCCAUGUUGGGGACAGUUUCUGAGCAGCUCGCGGAAUCUUUCCCAAGCAUCAUGAAUAGUCUCAUCUCCAAGUUAGGUAAAGUGGGAAAUUUCUGCUAUGAUUUU